GAUGAAGAACGCAGCGAAAUGCGAUAAGUAAUGUGAAUUGCAGAAUUCAGUGAAUCAUCGAAUCUUUGAACGCACAUUGCGACCGCCAGUAUUCUGGCGGGCAUGCCUGUUCGAGCGUCAUUUCAACCAUCAAGCCCCAGGCUUGUGUUGGGGACCUGCGGCUGCCGCAGGCCCUGAAAACCAGUGGCGGGCUCGCUGUCACACCGGGCGUAGUAGAUUUUAUCUCGCUCUGGGCGUGCUGCGGGUUCCGGCCGUUAAAAAGCCUUUUUUACCCAAGGUUGACCUCGGAUCAGGUAGGAAGACCCGCUGAACUUAAGCAUAUCAAUAAGCGGAGGA
Molecule: unclassified non-coding RNA, 336 nt
Filed under: soil metagenome
Description: partial contains 5.8S ribosomal RNA, internal transcribed spacer 2, and large subunit ribosomal RNA
Rfam family: 5.8S ribosomal RNA (bases 1-120)
Source: RNAcentral